RNAcentral lists this ribosomal RNA (253 nucleotides) under uncultured bacterium. Its description in RNAcentral is "partial 16S ribosomal RNA". It matches the Rfam family "Bacterial small subunit ribosomal RNA", at positions 524 to 776 of the family's 1533-position model. The record is from RNAcentral.
GACAGAGGGUGCAAACGUUGCUCGGAAUCACUGGGCGUAAAGGGCGUGUAGGCGGGAAGGAAAGUCAGAUGUGAAAUCUCCGGGCUUAACUCGGAAAGGUCAACUGAUACUGUGCGACUAGAGUGCGGAAGGGGCAACUGGAAUUCUCGGUGUAGCGGUGAAAUGCGUAGAUAUCGAGAGGAACACCUGCGGCGAAGGCGGGUUGCUGGGCCGACACUGACGCUGAGGCGCGAAAGCCAGGGGAGCGAACGGG